UCAAGCGAACAAGGGCGCAGGGCGAAUGCCUUGGCACUGGGAGCCGAUGAAAGACGUGAUAAGCUGCGAUAAGCUUCGGGGAGCUGCAAAUAAGCAUUGAUCCGGAGAUUUCUGAAUGAGGAAACUCACCUGGGUUCAUACUCAGGUACGUUAUACUGAACUUCAAAAUAGGUAUAUCGAGGGAACCGCCUGAACUGAAACAUCUAAGUAGGGCGAGGAAGAGACAUCAAACGAGAUUCCGUAAGUAGUGGCGAGCGAACGCGGAAGAGGGCAAACCGAGAGUAGAAAUACUUUCGGGGUACGGACUGCUUUUAGGACUUAAUCUGUUAACCGAACGGCAUGGGAAGGCCGGUCAGAGAGUGUGAGAACCACGUAGGUGAAAACGGAAAGAGCUGCGCAGGAUCCAGAGUACGGCCAGACACGUGAAACCUGGUCGGAAUACGGGGGGACCACCCUCCAACCCUAAAUACUACCCAGUGACCGAUAGCGUAUAGUACUGUGAAGGAAAGGUGAAAAGCACCCCGGGAGGGGAGUGAAAAAGAACCUGAAACCCUGUGCCUACAAGCACCUAGAGCGCGUCAAAGCGUGAUAGGGUACUUUUUGUAGAACGGUCCGGCGAGCGAUUGUAUGCAGCAAGGUUAAGGACUUAAGGUCUGGAGCCGAAGCGAAAGCGAGUUUGAAAAGGGCGUUAAGUUGCAUAUAAUGGGCCCGAAACCGGGUGACCUACCCAUGGUCAGGUUGAAGUGGAAGUAAAAUUCCAUGGAGGACCGAACCGACCUCCGUUGAAAAGGCGGCGGAUGAACUGUGGGUAGCGGAGAAAUUCCAAUCGAACCCGGAGAUAGCUGGUUCUCCCCGAAAUAGUUUUAGGACUAGCCUCAAGUUAGAUACCUGGAGGUAAAGCACUGAAUAGCCUAGCGGCCGAGAGGUUAGCGAAGCUUAUCAAACUCAGAAUGCCAGAGUAUUGAUGCUUGGGAGUCAGACAGUGUCAGAUAAAUGUCAUUGUCAAAAGGGAAACAGCCCAGAUCUACAGCUAAGGUCCCAAAGUCAGGUUAAGUGGAAAACGAUGUGAAGAUACGCAGACAACCAGGAUGUUGGCUCAGAAGCAGCCACUCAUUCAAAGAGUGCGUAAUAGCUCACUGGUCGAGCGUCUUUGCGCGGAGAAUUUAACGGGGCUAAACCUGACACCGAAGCUUAGGCAAUACAGUAAUGUAUUGGGUAGGGGAGCGUUGUAUACGCGGUGAAACAGUAGCGCAAGCGGCUGUGGAGUGUAUAGAAGUGAGAAUGCCGGAAUGAGUAGCGCGAAUGCAGUGAGAAUCUGCAUGGCCGAAAGCCUCAGGUUUCUGGAGGAAGGUUCGUCCGCUCCAGGUUAGUCGGGAGCUAAGGUGAGGCCGGAAGGCGUAGCCGAUGCACAGACGGUAGAGAUUCCGUCACCACCAAAAGAGUUAAGCACAGGGACACAUUUGAAGUCUCAGAGCCGGGUGUUGGUUCCGGUAGAGAUCGAGGGAAAUUAGUACCGAAGUCUGAGAUGGAAGAUGGCGAGAAAAGCUGUGUGUAUUUCUGAGGUGCCCGUACCGCAAACCGACACAGGUAGGUAGGAAGAAGAUUCUAAGGCCAACGGGAGAAGGGUUGUUAAGGAACUCGGCAAAUUGACCCCGUAACUUCGGGAGAAGGGGUGCUCCAGAGAUGGAGCCGCAGAGAAUCGGCCCAAGCAACUGUUUACCAAAAACACAGGUUUGUGCUAAAUCGAAAGAUGACGUAUACGAGCUGACGCCUGCCCGGUGCUGGAAGGUUAAGAGGAGAUGUGCAAGCAUUGAAUCGAAGCCCCAGUGAACGGCGGCCGUAACUAUAACGGUCCUAAGGUAGCGAAAUUCCUUGUCAGGUAAG
RNAcentral lists this ribosomal RNA (1884 nucleotides) under human gut metagenome. RNAcentral describes it as "bacterial LSU rRNA". It matches the Rfam family "Bacterial large subunit ribosomal RNA", at positions 3 to 1980 of the family's 2925-position model. The record is from RNAcentral.